Molecule: ribosomal RNA, 460 nt
Filed under: uncultured bacterium
Lineage: Bacteria
Description: partial 16S ribosomal RNA
Rfam family: Bacterial small subunit ribosomal RNA
Source: RNAcentral
CCUACGGGAGGCAGCAGUGAGGAAUAUUGGUCAAUGGACGAGAGUCUGAACCAGCCAAGUAGCGUGAAGGAUGACUGCCCUAUGGGUUGUAAACUUCUUUUAUAUGGGAAUAAAAUGUUCCACGUGUGGGAUUUUGUAUGUACCAUAUGAAUAAGGAUCGGCUAACUCCGUGCCAGCAGCCGCGGUAAUACGGAGGAUCCGAGCGUUAUCCGGAUUUAUUGGGUUUAAAGGGAGCGUAGGUGGAUUGUUAAGUCAGUUGUGAAAGUUUGCGGCUCAACCGUAAAAUUGCAGUUGGAACUGGCAGUCUUGAGUACAGUAGAGGUGGGCGGAAUUCGUGGUGUAGCGGUGAAAUGCUUAGAUAUCACGAAGAACUCCGAUUGCGAAGGCAGUUCACUGGACUGCAACUGACACUGAGGCUCGAAAGUGUGGGUAUCAAACAGGAUUAGAUACCCGUGUAGUC